Scomber japonicus (chub mackerel) is the source of this 276-nucleotide long non-coding RNA. RefSeq lists it as uncharacterized. Lineage: Eukaryota; Metazoa; Chordata; Actinopteri; Scombriformes; Scombridae. The record is from RefSeq and is a predicted model, not a curated record. The transcript has 4 exons.
CCCCCAGCCUUUUUCUUUGGAGUAAAGGCAGAGCUACUGAUGAGCUGCUCAGUGUGGAGAUGAAGCAGUGUGUGGAGCAGCACACAGCAGGAACCAAGACUGAUGUCAGUGUUGCUUGACUGGUGUGGAGAACUGGAGUCCACCUGCUGGGAUGUGACCUGGCACUUCUGCUCAGCCUGAGUUUGAGGAUGAAAUUUAAACUGUCAAACAUUGAUUACAUCAACUUUACUGAAAUGUAAAAUCUGUGAUGGUUGAAUAAAAUUUGAAAAAUCUGCA